GAUGAACGCUGGCGGCGUGCCUAAUACAUGCAAGUCGAGCGAACAGAUGAGGAGCUUGCUCCUCUGACGUUAGCGGCGGACGGGUGAGUAACACGUGGAUAACCUACCUAUAAGACUGGGAUAACUUCGGGAAACCGGAGCUAAUACCGGAUAAUAUAUUGAACCGCAUGGUUCAAUAGUGAAAGACGGUUUUGCUGUCACUUAUAGAUGGAUCCGCGCCGCAUUAGCUAGUUGGUAAGGUAACGGCUUACCAAGGCAACGAUGCGUAGCCGACCUGAGAGGGUGAUCGGCCACACUGGAACUGAGACACGGUCCAGACUCCUAUGGGAGGCAGCAGUAGGGAAUCUUCCGCAAUGGGCGAAAGCCUGACGGAGCAACGCCGCGUGAGUGAUGAAGGUCUUUGGAUCGUAAAACUCUGUUAUUAGGGAAGAACAAAUGUGUAAGUAACUAUGCACGUCUUGACGGUACCUAAUCAGAAAGCCACGGCUAACUACGUG
RNAcentral lists this ribosomal RNA (497 nucleotides) under uncultured bacterium. RNAcentral's name for it is "partial 16S ribosomal RNA". It matches the Rfam family "Bacterial small subunit ribosomal RNA", at positions 28 to 507 of the family's 1533-position model. The record is from RNAcentral.